CAUCAGGAGCUACUAGACACAUGAGUCAAUAGAUGUCCACGUGACGUGUCGCCUAAUAGAACACCGACUCUAGUUCAAUCAUUCUCAUCCAUUCAUGUGCCAUCAGGUGGUCUGGAUGGAUAAUUUCCAUACGAGUUAAAGAGUUGGCUAUAGAAACUUCACAAGUUAUAUAUUACUUGUCAUUGAUAUAUAAAUCCAUUUAUAACUAUAGGUGUAUUACUUGUCACAAGUUAUGUAACA
RNAcentral lists this long non-coding RNA (240 nucleotides) under Oryza brachyantha (malo sina). RNAcentral describes it as "long non-coding RNA (OBRA_LNC003309)". Lineage: Eukaryota; Viridiplantae; Streptophyta; Magnoliopsida; Poales; Poaceae. The record is from RNAcentral.